RNAcentral lists this long non-coding RNA (1050 nucleotides) under Anolis carolinensis (green anole). Its description in RNAcentral is "lncRNA (ENSACAG00000045591.1)". The record is from RNAcentral. Lineage: Eukaryota; Metazoa; Chordata; Lepidosauria; Squamata; Anolidae.
AUGCAGUCGUGCCGGCCACAUGACCUUGGAGGUGUCUACGGACAACGCCGGCUCUUCGGCUUAGAAAUGGAGAUGAGCACCAACCCCCAGAGUCAUAUGGCCGGCAUGACUGCAUGGAGCGCUGUUACCUUCCCACCCGAGCAGUACCUAUUGAUCUACUCACAUUUGCAUGUUUUCAAACUGCUAGGUUGGCAAAAGCUAGAGCUAACAGUGGGCGCUCACUCCGCUCCCGGGAUUUGAACCUGUGACCUUUCGGUCUGCAAGUUCAGCAGCUCAGCGCUUUAACAUACUUCGCCACUGGGGCUCCAUCAUCCAUCCUUAGGAAACUACAAUUCCUACAGAAGUCGAGCUAUGUCUUCUUUUUAUUAGUAGUGGGCUUGGGGGUCCUUGAUAACAGAUUCUCCAUAAAAACAGAGUGAAUAAAGGCUGGCAAUUUCAGACAACAAAACUUGGUUUGUCCAGUUCUUGACAAUGAGCUCAAAGCGCUUAUUUAAUAACUUACAGCAAAACAGCUUUUCUUUGUGUUUCAUUUCUUGGGUGGUGGAUUUGAACUUUGCCAUGUUAUUUCUCAUACAUUCGUUUUAGUGCCAUAGCCUACAAAAUCAUUACUCACUCUCACACACACUUUCAGUUACUGAAAAAUAUAAAGGAAGACUGCAACAGCAGCAGAAAAGUAAACUGUAGAUGUGUGUGCGUAUCUUGGGGCACAAUCUGUUCCAUUGUAUUUCAUUGAUGUGGUGGAGAUUUUUCAUUAACAGAACAUCCUUUUGCUCUGAGCAGGAAUGUUACAACAUAAAAGCUUGGCUAUUAACACAAAAAUUGGUCCUUCGGCUUUCUUUUUUAAAUGCUUAGAAGGCAGCAGAAGUUUUACAGUUGGAAAAUAUCUAUUGUUACAUGUACAAAUCCCUUCUGAUUUCACUCCAAGCAAAUCCUUUUUCCUGCCACAGCCUAGAUAAUUCUCUUCUAAGGUGAGGAUAUUUACCAGAAACAUUAAAAUUAAAUUUGCAAUGCUCUCAGGUGAGUCUUUGGUUCCUACUGAAUUCAUUACCA